UUUAGGUUAUGUUCGAUUUCGGAGUUCACUGACAAACUGACAUUACAGAAUCUUUUCUAUGUUAUGUAAACUAUAUAUAAUAUAGUACAAAAAUAUUUUUUACCCUUUUUAAUUACCUCUAGAUAGAAGUAUUGAUUUGUGAACACUCUAUCCUUUCUAAUAUUCCAUUUUACUAAAUGUAAUGUAUUACAUUACAAACGAAUUAGUUGAUCACAAACUAAUAUCUGAGGAAGUCAGAUUGUACUGUAAUGUGACUGAUAAAAAUGUUUAAACUAAUUAAAUAAUGAUAAAAAAGGUUCUUUGAACUUCUCGUAAAAGAAUGGCGUCAGAUCAGGUAGAUGAGCUGAAAGAGCAGGGGAAUGCUUGUGUAAAAGCAGGAAAGUUUGAAGAAGCAGUUGUGCACUAUUCGCAUGCUAUCAAGUUGGACACCAAGAAUGCGGCUCUGUAUAGCAAUCGCUCGUUUGCGUUUCUGCGCAUGAGUCAGUUCUAUCAUGCAAUGCAAGAUGCCAAACAAACCAUACAGCUGAGACCCGAUUGGGUGAAGGGCUACUUCCGAUUGGGCGAAGUGCAAAGAAACACCAAGCACUUUGGCGAGGCGAUUCUGUCCUACAGUCGAGCGCUGCAAUUGGCGCCGAACGAUGUGACCAUCGUCGAGGCACUCACAAACACCGCUAGAGAAAGUCAAAAAACAAAGAAAGCCGAUGAGCAGAUUCCUUGGCUUGGAGCUGGACUGGGUAUAAUAAUUGGAGUUGCAAUUGUACUUGCUGAUUACGCAGUCUCCAAAAACCCUUCAUUAACACAUCCUAUACUGAUGGCGCUGUUGACGAUUGCUAUAGCUAUGCUGGGCUACGGCUUCGCCCGGGCCUAUCGCUAUUACAACAAGUGCCAGUGGAAUGGACUGCUAGAGCCACCCGUCGACCUGUUCAAAGGAGCCGAGUUGUCAGGUGGGGAUGGUGGAUGUGAAGCAAGGGAGGAGGAUGCAGCUGGUACCAGCAACCAGCACAGCAGCUCGGGCCACAAUCGCUACACCAAGGCACAGGCUCGCUUCCGUUUCAGGAAAGGCAAGGCAUAGAUCAACGCAACGCCUGCCUGUCCUUACAUCAUGGUUGGUUCAUUUCAUUCUUGUCAACUUCUUACAGCUUUUAUUUCAGAAAUGUUACCAGGGCAUUGUUGACUGGCGUAAUACAUACACUGGCGUGAUACCUCAAGUCAUCGUAUUUAUUUAUAUAUCAUAUAUGUAUUGAAAAUAAAUUAAGAGAAAUAACGUAUAAUACGUAUUAAUAAUCAAACGUAUUCAUCUUCUAUACAAAUUUGUAUAUCUCCUGUCACUUUUAUAUUCACAAUAAAUAUCUACUGUUUUGCAAAGAGAA
This is an RNA transcript of Nilaparvata lugens (brown planthopper), 1370 nucleotides long. It is a transcript of the gene named small glutamine-rich tetratricopeptide repeat-containing protein 2, with no coding region annotated. Lineage: Eukaryota; Metazoa; Arthropoda; Insecta; Hemiptera; Delphacidae. The transcript is spliced from 7 exons. The record is from RefSeq and is a predicted model, not a curated record.